AUGGAUCUCGCCUCCACCAAGUUACAUAUUACGAGGAAACAAAAUCAUCGUCACACAUCCGAUUCCUUCCUCCUCCGCACGCACGAAGCCGCCGCCGCUGCUUCUCACCUCGCCGCUAGAUCGGAAUCGAAGUCGUUGCUCAAAUCAAGAGAGAGAGAGAGAGAGAGAGAGAGAGAGAGAGAGAGAGAGAGAGAGAGAGAUCGGAUCAUAGGCGGACGAGCCGCCGGCGAGGAAUCCACGUCGGGUGGCUAUCCGUGGCCUCUCAAGCCCUCUCUUACUCCCCCCUCCUCCACCUCCCACCGCCCGGGCGCCGUCACCUCACCUUCCACAGGCCCCCUCGACCCUCGGCUAGACACCACGGCCGGGUCGCCGCCCCUCCCACCGCGAGGAAGACGACGACAGAGCAAGGCGGCGGCGCUGGGCUGCACGUCGAGCCUCCCUCAGUGGCCUCCGUCCUCCAUACCGAUGCUCCGUCCCCCGUUUCAAUCGGCUCUGCUGCAACUUCGCCUGAAGACCGGUGCUCUGCCUUGA
Molecule: ribosomal RNA, 531 nt
Filed under: Triticum aestivum (bread wheat)
Lineage: Eukaryota; Viridiplantae; Streptophyta; Magnoliopsida; Poales; Poaceae
Description: partial small subunit ribosomal RNA
Source: RNAcentral